RNAcentral lists this ribosomal RNA (242 nucleotides) under Klebsiella aerogenes. RNAcentral describes it as "partial 16S ribosomal RNA". It matches the Rfam family "Bacterial small subunit ribosomal RNA", at positions 1292 to 1533 of the family's 1533-position model. Lineage: Bacteria; Pseudomonadati; Pseudomonadota; Gammaproteobacteria; Enterobacterales; Enterobacteriaceae. RNAcentral also lists the same sequence under 2 other names. The record is from RNAcentral.
UCCGGAUUGGAGUCUGCAACUCGACUCCAUGAAGUCGGAAUCGCUAGUAAUCGUAGAUCAGAAUGCUACGGUGAAUACGUUCCCGGGCCUUGUACACACCGCCCGUCACACCAUGGGAGUGGGUUGCAAAAGAAGUAGGUAGCUUAACCUUCGGGAGGGCGCUUACCACUUUGUGAUUCAUGACUGGGGUGAAGUCGUAACAAGGUAACCGUAGGGGAACCUGCGGUUGGAUCACCUCCUUA